Long non-coding RNA from Penaeus vannamei (Pacific white shrimp), 1398 nucleotides. RefSeq lists it as uncharacterized. Lineage: Eukaryota; Metazoa; Arthropoda; Malacostraca; Decapoda; Penaeidae. The record is from RefSeq and is a predicted model, not a curated record.
CUCAGUGACGCAUUUCGGCUCCAGCGGCGGACGGGGGAACUACGCGUCGACUUCAAUCAACAUUUUAUAUCCAUUCUUACGAAGUUUAUCCAUAGUGACUCAUAAGGAAUAGGAAUUGAAGAAGGAAUGGGGGAGAGCGAGCGACGGUGUGCGAGUGAGAGGGAAGGAUGGCGAAAAGAAGACGCGGAGAAGGAACACGUGGAUGACGGUGCGGGGUGAAGCCAGCCGGCAGCCGGACACCCCUGAGGGUUGCCAGAUGAACAUCUAUCACCUUUGUUAGAAACGGGUCCUCUUACCUGCCUUCCUGAUAGAUAAGUGUGGCUGACAUGUGGCAGGUGUUGCAAGGGUAGGAAAAUAUAUGCAACAUUUGCCCGUGUUGGUACAGGUAAAUCAGAAGAUCCUACUGUUAAAUACAUUGGCGAGUUAUUUUUCUCUUUAGCAUUCUUAAAUUGGAACACAGUUAAGGUAGUGUGUAUGAAUAAAACGGUUUCUGUUGGUUGUUUCAUUUGUACGAAGGUUGUUGCAGGUGUAUGAUAAUCCCAAGAGGUAGAAUGUUCUCGAUGUACGUUUUCUAUGAUGGUGUGAUGAGGAUGUAUGAUAAUUGCCAUGGGCGAGCGUUUUCGAUGUCCGUUUUCUUUCAUGCUGCGUGGAGGAGGGACUUAAAGAAAGUUGUUAUACCUGAGCAUGUGAUAUAAAGGGCAGUGUGGCUGUACCAUGUUGGCCAGUAGUAAUAUUCAAGUGCUAUACAUUGGCACUAGGUAUAAAGGAUUAGUUCUACUGCAUUACAAUAGCCAUUCAUUAACUAAUUGGCUUGGUAAAGUGGAAGAAAGUAAUACCGGAGCAAAACAAGUAACCAAAGGACUUCUAACACAUUUUCGUUGGUUGUGACUAGCAUUGAAUAGUUGCGCUAAAGGAAAAUCAUGCAAGAACAGCAUUCAAGAAGAAUCUUGAAUCUUUUUUGUCAAAAUUUUAAGUAAUGGUGGUCUAAUAAUUGUGACUACUUGGUAGGAAGGCACAUUUAAAAAUGAAAUGAGUAUCUAAAAAAAUAUCAGUUUAUAUAUAUCUGAGAAGACAAGAAUUGGUAAACCAGAGAAAAUGCAACAAUGCAGUUGUCCUGUAACUUACAGGAAUGAACCGGCUAUCCAGUUGUCUUUAAACUCAAAGGAGUGAACUUGUAAUUUAUAAGACAGAACCAACUGGCAUGCCAUAAAUAGCACUGCAGUUACAAAAUGGCGGAAGAUUGCGUUUUCUGUAGUCAAAAGAGCGCCCGUUUUCUUUUACCUGAAGUAAGCGGGGUUACUGCUAUAUGUAACUCACCCUUUUGCACUGCCCAUAUUAUUGAAGAAAUGGUAAAAUGAAUGAGUAAGAUGAAAAGUGAAGCAAAAAGAAGAAGAAGAA